Molecule: ribosomal RNA, 464 nt
Filed under: uncultured bacterium
Lineage: Bacteria
Description: partial 16S ribosomal RNA
Rfam family: Bacterial small subunit ribosomal RNA
Source: RNAcentral
CCUACGGGAGGCAGCAGUAGGGAAUUUUCGUCAAUGGGCGCAAGCCUGAACGAGCAAUGCCGCGUGAACGAGUAAGGUCUUCGGAUCGUAAAGUUCUGUUGAAGGGGAAAAAGAGCGGAGAGAGGAACUGAACUCCGAUUGAUAUUACCCUUCGAGGAAGUCACGGCUAACUACGUGCAAGCAGCCUCGGUAAUACGUAGGUGGCGAGCGUUAACCGGAUUGAUUGGGCGUAAAGGGUGAGUAGGCGGCCUGCGAAGUCGGGAGUGAAAGGUACGGGCUCAACCGGUACAGGCUCUGGAAACUGGCGGGCUAGAGGGCAGGAGAGGGCGGUGGAACUCCAUGUGUAGCGGUAAAAUGCGUAGAUAUAUGGAAGAACACCAGUGGCGAAGGCGGCCGCCUGGCCUGUUACUGACGCUGAGGCACGAAAGCGUGGGGAGCAAAUAGGAUUAGAUACCCGUGUAGUC